GCAGUUAAAAGGAGUCUGCAUAGACAGAGGGCACAAAUGUGAGUUGAUUAUGUUGGUAUCAUAUUGUGAAGAUUAAAUUAAUUCCCCUGCCCAUUUUUAGAUUUAAUCACCAAAAGUGUAAACAUUCUACUUAAUCUUUAAGUGGGGGAGGUCUGUGACCCACAUGUGCAAUAAUGGGUGAUAAAUCAGAAUCAAACUGACUGCCCCUUGGGCAGUCCUAAACAAAGCUUCAACUGUAAUUGGUAGACAUAAAAUUGGAGGAGGGCACAGGAAGUGAUGUAAUAGAAAGUGUCUUUAAAAGGGAGUUACAGCUUCCUGUGGGAAUUUCUUCUUUGAAGAGUUCUUCAAGAGUUCUUCAGGCUUGGGACUUCUAACUUUUUCUGGGAGUUCUGGAGUUCUUCAUGCUUGGGACUUCUGACUGCUCUCAUUCUUUGGAGUUCUGAGUUCCAGUUGGAGGCUGGUGAAGAAUCUGUUGACUGGACCUGAGACCCUAUACCUGAGAAACAGCUGUGGAACAUAAAGAAUUCUUCAAGUCAGUUCAAGAAGUAUUUAACUGUUUCCAGCUCCAGGUUAUUUCCAGAGUUCUAUGGAACAGAGGUAAGGAGAGACUGACUAUGUGUGGGGCCACCAGUGCAAAAGCAUGGAGAUAAUGAAUGGAGUUCCAAGUAUGAAGAAAGAAGGCCAGUCAGAGUCUCAGAAUUAUGAGAGGUGUUUGGAUCUAGGAAAGUCUGUGCUUAGAAGAAGUCUCACAUCCAUUUUGGGCCCAGUUCCUUGGCAUAGUGAGAAGAAACCAUAAUAGAUCCUGAGUUGAAGGUAUUGGGGUGGGAGUAGCAUUUAUUUGGGGGCCAUGAUCAAAGAUCUUUGAGAACAGAAUUUUUAAAAAAUCUUUUUUAUCUCUAGUAUCUAGUACAGUGCUUGGCAUACAAUUUAACAAAUGCUUUUUGAAUUUGAUUGGCUCAGAAAUAGGGAAUUUAGUUCCUAUUCUACAUAUAGGCUCUCUUUCGGGUGUAUAUAUGAGUAAAACCCAGCUUCCAGGUACCCAGUCACCAACUAAUUUUCCUCCAUCUCAUAGAUCUAAAAGCUCUUGUUGCCUCUACUAGUCAUGGGUGCACAUGAAAGCUAUCAGCCAG
Molecule: long non-coding RNA, 1130 nt
Filed under: Monodelphis domestica (gray short-tailed opossum)
Lineage: Eukaryota; Metazoa; Chordata; Mammalia; Didelphimorphia; Didelphidae
Description: lncRNA (ENSMODG00000039949.1)
Source: RNAcentral